GGACACGGCAGAGCACAAGUUCUACUUCAGAGAGAUCAGGGCUGGAAAGAAACUACGUUUCACAGGGCUUUGUAGGAGAUGUCCCCAGUAGGCUGUAAGUGCACUGUGGAGAGCCAGUUGUUUCUUAGCUUCCCAAAGAGCUGGAAGGAAGACCGUUUGUGGCUUGUCUCCUUUAGAGGCAAUGACUCAGCGCUUUGUGACUUCCACCUCUAGAGAAACGUAGAACACUGCUUAGAGCAGAAGUUGCAAGACGGCGACAUCUGGGCUGGAAAGAAACUGUAUUUCAGGACCUUGUAUUAGAGGUUCCCGGUAGGCUGUAAGAGCCCAGUGGAAAGCGAGUUCUUACUCACGUUGCAAAAGAAUUGGAAGCAAGACGACCUGUGGCCAGUCUCCUCUUUAGGAAGCCAGGCAGAGCUUUGUGACUUCCACCUCUAGGGAAGUGUAGGACACGGCAGAGCAGAAGUUCUACUUCAGCGAUAUCAGGGCUGGGAAGAAACUGCGUUUCACAGACCUUUGUGAGAGAUGUUCCCAGUAGGCUGUAAGAGCACUAUGGAGAAGCACUUGUUUCUUAGCUUCUGAGACGUGGAAGCAAGACCGUUUGUGGCUUGUCUCCUCUGGAGGCAAUGAAUCAGCGCUUUGAGGCUUCCACCUCUAGAGCAAUGUAGAACACAGCUUGGAACAGAAGAUCCAACGGGGCGAGAUCAGGGCUGGAAACAAACUGCAUUUCAGUACUUUGUAUUAGAGGUUCCCGGUAGGCUGUAGGAGCCCAGGGGAAAGCGAGUUCUUUCCCACCUUGGAAAGAGCUGGAAGCAAGACGCUUUGUGGCCUGUCUCCCCUUGAAUAAACAAGGCAGGUCUUUGUGACUUGCAUCUCUAGGGCAAUGUAGGACACGUCGGAGCAUAAGUUCUAAUUCAGCUAGAUCUGGGCUGGGAAUAAACUGCAUUUCACAGGCCUUCGUGAGAGAUGUUCCCAGUAGGCUGUCAGAGCACUGCGGAGAGCGAGUUCUUUCUUAGCUUCUGAAACAGCAGGAAGCAAGAUUCUUUGUGGAGUUUGUCCCCUUGAGGCAAGAGGGCAGGACUUUGUGCCUUGCACCUCUAGGGCAAUGUAGGACACGGCAGAGCGGAAGUUCUACUUCAGCGAAGUCAGGGCUGGAAAGAAACUGCGUUUCAAGGGCCUUUGUAAGAGAUGUUCCCCGUAGGCUCUAAGAGCACUGUGGAGUGCGAGUUCUUUCUCACCUUGCCAAAGGUCGGGAAGCAAGACGGUCUGUGGCCUGUCUCCUCUUAAGGAAACCAGGCAGGGCUUUGUGACUUCCACCUCUAGGGUAAUGUGUUACACGGCAGAGCAGAAGUUCUUCUUCAGCGAGAUCAGGGUUGGCAAGAAACUGCGCUUCACAGGCCUUUGUAAGAGAUGUUGCCGGUAGGCUGUAAGAGCACUGUGGAAAGCGAGUUGUUUCUUAGCUUCCCCUAGAGCUGGAAGCAAGACUGCUUGUGUCUUGUCUCCUGUGGCGGCACUGACUCAGCGCUCUGUGUCUUCCAUCUCUAGAGCAAUGUUGACAUGGCUUAGAACAGUAGUUCCAAGGCAGUGAGAUCAUGGCUGGAAACAAACUGCAUUUCAGGCCUUAAUAUGAGAGUUUCCCAAUAGGCUGUAAGAGCGCUGUUGAAAGCGAGUUCUUUCUCACCUUCCCAAAGAGCUGGAAGCGACACGGUCUGUUGCAUGUCUCAUUUUAAGGAAGACAGGGAGGCCAUUGUGACUUCCAACUCUAGGGAAAUGUAUUACACGGCAGAGCAGAAGUUCUACUUCAGUGAGAUCAGGGCUGGGAGGAAACUGCGUUUCAAAGGCCUUUGUAAGAGAUGUCCCCGGUAGGCUGUAAGAGCACUGUGUAGAGCAAGUUGUUUCUUAGCUUCCAAAACAGCUGGAAGCAAGGCCGUUUGUUGGUUGUCUCAUUUGGUGGGAAGGAGUCAGCGCUUUGUGUGUUCCACCUCUAGAUCAAUGUAGGACAUGGCUUAGAGCAGAAGUUCCAAGGCGGUGAGCUCAUGGCUGGAAACAAACUGCAUUUCAGGCCUAAGUAUGAGAGGUUCCUGGUAGGCUGUAAGAGCCAUGUGGAAAGCGAGUUCAUUCUCAACUUGCCAAAGACUGGAAGUGAGACGGUCUGAGGCCUGUCUCCCCUUAAGGAAGCCGGGCAGGCCAUUGAGACUUCCACCUCUAGGUCAAUGUAUUACAACGAAGAUCAGAAGUUCUACUUCAGUGAGAUCAGGCCUUGGAAGAAACUGCGUUUCACAGGCCUUUGUGAGAGAUGUUCCCACUAGGCUGUAAGAGCACAUUGGAGAGCGAGUUGUUUCUUAGCUUCCCAAAGAGCUGGAAGCAAGACGCUUGUGGUCUGUCUCCCCUUGAGGAAACAAGGCAGGACUUUGUAUCUUGCACUUCUAGGGCAACAUAGAACACGGCAACGCAGAAGUUCUACUUCAGUGAGAUCAUGGCUGGGAAGAAACUGCGUUUCACAGGCCUUUGUGAGAGAUGUUCCCGGUAGGCUGUAAGAGCACUCUGGAGAGUGAGUUGUUUCUUGACUUCCCAAAGACCUGGAAGCAACACCGUUUGUGGCUAGUCUACUGUCGAGGCAAUGACUCAGUGCUUUGUCACUUCCACCUCUAGAGCUAUGCAGGACAUGGCUUAGAGCAAAAUUUCAAAGUCGGCGUGAGCUCUCCUGGAAACAAACUUCGUUUCAAGUCUUUGUAUCAGAGGUUUCCGGUAGACUGUAAGAGACAAGGGGAAAGCGAGAUCUUUCU
RNAcentral lists this long non-coding RNA (2783 nucleotides) under Equus caballus (horse). RNAcentral describes it as "lncRNA (ENSECAG00000051439.1)". The record is from RNAcentral. Lineage: Eukaryota; Metazoa; Chordata; Mammalia; Perissodactyla; Equidae.